Long non-coding RNA from Chelonia mydas (Green sea turtle), 1278 nucleotides. RefSeq lists it as uncharacterized. Lineage: Eukaryota; Metazoa; Chordata; Testudines; Cheloniidae. The transcript has 2 exons. The record is from RefSeq and is a predicted model, not a curated record.
ACUGUGUCCAUUUGCCUGUAACACACAAAUGAAAACAGGAAACAAUCAAAUGAAGUUAUGUUUAGCACUUUUUCAUUUUUUGGAGGAGAGCUGAAAAUUAAAGUAAAAGAAACUUGAUGGUUCAAAAAUUAAAAAGAACAUUGAUUACUUUUGAUUGGUAGAAAUGUGAUUCCGUACCUUGAAGAGAAUAACAAUAAUGUUCUAAUUAAAUAAUAAUAAUGCAACAAUUCACUUCUUAUAACUUUUUAAAAAAUUCUGCUAUAACAGCAUCUUACACAACAGUAGAGCUAUAAAAUUAGAGAUUUAACUGGACCAUCAAAGGUAUAGAUUUAAUCUUGGGAUACAUAAAGUAGAUGUUACCCCAGCAAGCAUAGUUUGACAAAGCGUAAGAAGUUAGUUUCAGAGGUCUCCAAGCAAGCAGAAGGUGUAGCCAAGUAUGUACGUGUUAUGGUACCAUCAUCUAGCAGUGAUAGAAGGGACAGAACACAGCAAACACUCAGGGAAGGACUCUAUAUGGACAAAGUGGAUAUGUCAGUUGAAUAAAGAGUGAGCUAUCUGCAGUGAUAGCCUGAUGGUGAAGUUACUGUGUGUGGAACUCCUAAAUGAAGCUAUUGGGAGUUCUGCAUGCAUAGGGGCUGCAGGCUGAGUCCUUUAGUCAGGAAGCAUGCCCUCUGAAUCUAUCAAUAAUUUUAGCAAUUUAUAGGGUGCUAAUCCCUGUAGUUUCCAAAUGAAAAUUCCAAGGAAGUUAAUUCUGUCUAAUGCAUCAUUAACUACUAACAGAAAAGUUCACAAUGACGGGAAAAUGACAGAUGGGUAACUAUGUAUUAGGAGGAUAGGUAACUGCUGAGCAAGUUGCUUACAUCUAGUUCUAAUCUCUACUUUGCCUGUUGUAGUAUCUAGACACCAUAGCAGACAGACCUGUUACUCCCACCUCAGAAGCACAAAGAUCCAGCUCUUGAGUUGAGUCUAGGCAUAUCACCAUAGGGGCAGUCAACACUAGUUUGUGGACAAGCUACUGAAGGGGCAAGAAACAGGACCUCUUGAUGGAAGAUCUUCCACUCUUGAUCUAUGCAAGUCCAAGGUACAAAGGCUCAUCUGUUUACAUGGGCUUUUGUCAAAGAUAGGAGAGGUAACUGAAGAGGCAGGUUCCAAGCGGUUUGGGCUGGAAAUACAUUUUGUUCUGAUAUUUGUUGUUCAUUGUUUUUUCAUUUUUGUAAAGAGGUUUGAAUUUUGUUGGAGAAGUAUAUUUCAUAAAUUAAAAAUAAAGAAAUGAUAAUA